This 439-nucleotide ribosomal RNA is filed under the name uncultured bacterium. Its description in RNAcentral is "bacterial SSU rRNA". It matches the Rfam family "Bacterial small subunit ribosomal RNA", at positions 65 to 518 of the family's 1533-position model. The record is from RNAcentral.
AGAGGUAGAGUCAUAGUGAAGAGAUAAACCUAGUGGCGGACGGGUGAGUAAUGCAUGAGCAACUUGCCUUCAGAGGGGGAUAACACAUCGAAAGAUGUGCUAAUACCGCAUAACAUAUUUUGUUCGCAUGAAUGAGAUAUCAAAGGAGAAAUCCGCUGAAAGAUGGGCUCAUGUCUGAUUAGAUAGUUGGUGAGGUAACGGCUCACCAAGUCGACGAUCAGUAGCCGGACUGAGAGGUUGAACGGCCACAUUGGAACUGAGAGACGGUCCAGACUCCUACGGGAGGCAGCAGUGGGGAAUAUUGGGCAAUGGGCGAAAGCCCUGACCCAGCAACGCCGCGUGAAGGAAGAAGGUCUUCGGAUUGUAAACUUUUGUCUUAUGGGACGAUAAUGACGGUACCAUAGGAGGAAGCCACGACUAACUACGUGCCAGCCGCGGC